AGUCAUGAGGUUGAUCCUGGCUCAGGACUAAAUACCCUGUUGCUCCUUAGAUGCGUUACCGGCGGACGGGUGAGUAACACGUGGAUAACCUACCUAUAAGACUGGGAUAACUUCGGGAAACCGGAGCUAAUACCGGAUAAGAUUUUGAACCGCAUGGUUCAAUAGUGAAAGACGGCCUUGCUGUCACUUAUAGAUGGAUCCGCGCCGUAUUAGCUAGUUGGUAAGGUAACGGCUUACCAAGGCAACGAUACGUAGCCGACCUGAGAGGGUGAUCGGCCACACUGGAACUGAGACACGGUCCAGACUCCUACGGGAGGCAGCAGUAGGGAAUCUUCCGCAAUGGGCGAAAGCCUGACGGAGCAACGCCGCGUGAGUGAUGAAGGUCUUCGGAUCGUAAAACUCUGUUAUCAGGGAAGAACAAACGUGUAAGUAACUGUGCACGUCUUGACGGUACCUGAUCAGAAAGCCACGGCUAACUACGUGCCAGCAGCCGCGGUAAUACGUAGGUGGCAAGCGUUAUCCGGAAUUAUUGGGCGUAAAGCGCGCGUAGGCGGUUUUUUAAGUCUGAUGUGAAAGCCCACGGCUCAACCGUGGAGGGUCAUUGGAAACUGGAAAACUUGAGUGCAGAAGAGGAAAGUGGAAUUCCAUGUGUAGCGGUGAAAUGCGCAGAGAUAUGGAGGAACACCAGUGGCGAAGGCGUCUUUCCGCUCGGUUA
Molecule: ribosomal RNA, 715 nt
Filed under: Staphylococcus sp. G779
Lineage: Bacteria; Bacillati; Bacillota; Bacilli; Caryophanales; Staphylococcaceae
Description: bacterial SSU rRNA
Rfam family: Bacterial small subunit ribosomal RNA
Source: RNAcentral